Non-coding RNA from Nicotiana tabacum (common tobacco), 684 nucleotides. NCBI's taxonomy places the organism in Eukaryota, Viridiplantae, Streptophyta, Magnoliopsida, Solanales, Solanaceae. The record is from RefSeq and is a predicted model, not a curated record.
UCUAUUUAACCUAGCUAGGACCUAAUUACCACAAUCAGAUUUUCCCAUAUUCUUUUAGACCCUAGGACCAAACGGCGCAUCUAGAAAGAAGAAAAAGGCUUCUUCCCCAUUUUCUUCAACACCCAAAAACAAACGCUGCUCCAUUCCUCAUCUCACAGACCCAGAACAGCGUUAUUCCCCCUUUCCUUCUUCAUUCCUUUCUCACUUUCACAAACAGAAACAUCUGGAUUUAAAAGUACCGAAUUUCAGAUCUAAAAAAAAGAACUCCGAAAAAUCAAAAAAAAAAAAAAAGAAAAGAGAAAAAAACGAUGAAAAGGAAGAUUUAAAGUUGGUUUCGGGUUUUCAUUCAAUUGUUGUACAUUUUUUGGGAUUUCUCUAAAUGGUUUGAGCUAUUGAAGUUGUCGAAUCUGUUGGGGUUGCUCGUUUUUGGAGCUGCUGAGCUCCAGCUUUGAAGUUCAUACCUUUAUUUGGUCCUCUAAUUGUUGUUUUCUGCCUUUAGAAGAAAAACUGUGAUAUUUGAGGCAGAAAGGACCAAAUCAAAAUGAUGAUGGCUCAGAACUCAACACUCUUGAACACGUUUAAGUUUCUAGGAUUAUACAUGUAUAUCAUACAACUUUGUAAUAAUGGUGAUUGACUUCAGUUUGUUUUUAAAUAACUGAAUGGCUCCUUAAAAAUUUUCUCAAA